Molecule: long non-coding RNA, 723 nt
Filed under: Neogobius melanostomus (round goby)
Lineage: Eukaryota; Metazoa; Chordata; Actinopteri; Gobiiformes; Gobiidae
Description: lncRNA (ENSNMLG00000023115.1)
Source: RNAcentral
GGAGACAGGGACAGCACGUUAUAAUCUGGAGAAGGAUCAUGAGGAGCACAGAGCGAUGGCCAAGUGCCUGAAUCUGCACGGGAGAACUUUGUGGAGUGGCACUACCAUGGAGCAGGUAAAACUAAACUCCAGUAUCCACCGAAAACAUUCAAAUAUUUCCAUGACGUCUGUGUUUCUGUUUCAGAUUUCUGCCACAGAAAAUCUGUGCUGCCAACUCUGGAUUCAGACGAGCUGCACCAGGUGGAUGGGGACUGGGUGAUGGUCUGGAUGGCCUAUAGAAGAUUAUGACCGAUGACGACCCAUGGGUGAACCUCACCAGCUCCUACAUGGAGAUGCGUGUUCAGCCUGACAAUCACACUGUGGUCCUUCACGAGCGCAAUACUGUAGGAGGGAAAUGCAUUUCCUACAAGGGGAACCUGUCCUUCCUCAGAUCAGCGAGAAAAUUCACCGCUCCACCUGGAGGAGGGAGUGAGUUUGAUCUACCUGAAAGCUCGUCUAAUGUUUUCUGGAUGUGCUGUUAUACUUCUUUAAUGAUGCUUCUUUGGUUUCCAGUGCAGAACUUAGACGGAGAGUGGGAACGUACAAUGACACCGUCACUGCACAGUUCUUCCCGAGUUCAGAAACACCAUGAAGAUGUACUACAGAAGUGAACUCAUGGUACCUCUCACUGCUCUAUUACAGUGAGUCCUGACUCAGACGCUAUUUAGUCCUGUAUAGUUCCCU